Molecule: long non-coding RNA, 814 nt
Filed under: Vulpes vulpes (red fox)
Lineage: Eukaryota; Metazoa; Chordata; Mammalia; Carnivora; Canidae
Description: lncRNA (ENSVVUG00000029630.1)
Source: RNAcentral
CCUACACAUACACGCCUCUGAUAAAGUUCCACUUAUAAACUAGGUGCAGUAAGAGACCGACAACGUUAAUAACAGAAUAGACUAGAACAACGCACUGUAAAAGCUAUGUGAAUGUAAGCUCUCUCUCUCAAAAUAGCUUAUUGUGCUGUACUCACACUUCUUAUGCUGAUGUGACAUGGGAAAAUGCCUACGAGAUGAGAUGAAAUCAGGUGAGUGAUGUAGGCAUUGUGACAUAGCCUCAGGUUACUACUGGCCUUCUGAGGCUGUGUCACAAGGAGAAUUAUCUACUUCUGGAACUCGGUUGACCAUGGAAAGCAAAGACCAUGUAGAAGACGGGGCUACCGUGUAUCUUUUAAUAUUUAAGAGUAUAGGAUUAGCCCAAUGUCACAUAUGAGGAUUAGUAAUGUUUAACUGUGUGCUGCUCAUCCUGACAAUACGCUGUAGAGAGACUGGCUUCUUUGGAGUGUUUUGCUGGUAGCCAGUUGAAUCACCGGACCCAAUUUUGCCCAUCACAUUGGGAAGCAGAGCCCCACCUCCUGUCCUGGGAAGCCACACCUCCUCACUCUCUGCGCAGGAGCAUAAACCCAUGGCAAAAAAGCUGGUUGACCAGAUGUUCCCAUCCUCAAUAUUAAAUUUUAGGAGAAAUCUCCUAACACGCAGGACUCCAAGAGACAAAAGGUACAGCUUCUCUUAAGGAAGCUACAAGGAGCAGUAUCUGACACUUUUCUCCCCAAGCCUCCUGGAAUCCAGGGUAAGGUUUCGCUGAUUGACCAUCCUACCCAGGAAUGUCAAAUAGGAGACUCAAAGAGGGUGA